CUCGGGAGAUUAGGUAGACAAGUAUAUCUCGAACUCGGUCAGGGUGGAAACACAGCAGCCGUAGAGGCAAUACUUGGGUUGUUUUAAUCUCCCACUGAA
This 99-nucleotide signal recognition particle RNA is filed under the name Amylibacter sp. Its description in RNAcentral is "signal recognition particle sRNA small type". It matches the Rfam family "Bacterial small signal recognition particle RNA". From Rfam's summary of the family: The signal recognition particle (SRP) is a universally conserved ribonucleoprotein involved in the co-translational targeting of proteins to membranes. Archaeal SRP consists of a 7S RNA and homologues of the eukaryotic SRP19 and SRP54 proteins. In most bacteria, the SRP consists of a 4.5S RNA and the Ffh protein (a homologue of the eukaryotic SRP54 protein). The record is from RNAcentral. RNAcentral also lists the same sequence under 2 other names. Lineage: Bacteria; Pseudomonadati; Pseudomonadota; Alphaproteobacteria; Rhodobacterales; Paracoccaceae.